This 466-nucleotide ribosomal RNA is filed under the name uncultured bacterium. RNAcentral describes it as "partial 16S ribosomal RNA". It matches the Rfam family "Bacterial small subunit ribosomal RNA", at positions 28 to 507 of the family's 1533-position model. The record is from RNAcentral.
GACGAACGCUGGCGGUGUGCUUAACACAUGCAAGUCGAACGGUAAGGCCCUUUCGGGGGUACACGAGUGGCGAACGGGUGAGUAACACGUGAGUAGCCUGCCCUCAUCUCUGGGAUAACAGUCGGAAACGGUUGCUAAUACUGGAUAUGAGCUUGCAAGGCAUCUUGUGGGUUGGAAAGAUUUUUUUGGUUGGGGAUGGACUCGCGGCCUAUCAGCUUGUUGGUGAGGUAGUGGCUCACCAAGGCUUCGACGGGUAGCCGGCCUGAGAGGGCGACCGGCCACAUUGGGACUGAGAUACGGCCCAAACUCCUACGGGAGGCAGCAGUGGGGAAUACUGCACAAUGGACGGAAGUCUGAUGCAGCAACGCCGCGGGCGGGAGGACGGCCUUCGGGUUGUAAACCGCUUUCAAUUGUGACGAAGCUUUUUGUGACGGUAGCAGUAGAAGAAGCACCGGCUAACUACGUG